Molecule: ribosomal RNA, 581 nt
Filed under: uncultured bacterium
Lineage: Bacteria
Description: partial 16S ribosomal RNA
Rfam family: Bacterial small subunit ribosomal RNA
Source: RNAcentral
UGGGGAAUUUUGGACAAUGGGCGAAAGCCUGAUCCAGCAAUGCCGCGUGUGUGAAGAAGGCCUUCGGGUUGUAAAGCACUUUUGUCCGGAAAGAAAUCCUUGGCUCUAAUACAGUCGGGGGAUGACGGUACCGGAAGAAUAAGCACCGGCUAACUACGUGCCAGCAGCCGCGGUAAUACGUAGGGUGCAAGCGUUAAUCGGAAUUACUGGGCGUAAAGCGUGCGCAGGCGGUUUGCUAAGACCGAUGUGAAAUCCCCGGGCUCAACCUGGGAACUGCAUUGGUGACUGGCAGGCUAGAGUAUGGCAGAGGGGGGUAGAAUUCCACGUGUAGCAGUGAAAUGCGUAGAGAUGUGGAGGAAUACCGAUGGCGAAGGCAGCCCCCUGGGCCAAUACUGACGCUCACGCACGAAAGCGUGGGGAGCAAACAGGAUUAGAUACCCUGGUAGUCCACGCCCUAAACGAUGUCAACUAGUUGUUGGGGCAUUCAUUUUCCUUAGUAACGUAGCUAACGCGUGAAGUUGACCGCCUGGGGAGUACGGUCGCAAGAUUAAAACUCAAAUGAAUUGACGGGGUCAUAGCUG